ACAGCUUCAAAUUACUCAGAUAUUUCAUUCACGAGUUCAGAAUUUCAAUGAGGAUCUCAUGUCGUUGUCUUUAUCGUUGUUGGUUUCAAUUUGUGGCCUGUUAAUUUGUUUAUCUGUUUAUUAGUAUGUCUAAUAUCUGUCACGCCAUAGUGUAAAUUAUUGUUAUGUUUAUGUAUGUUGUGGAACCCCGUUAUUGGAGAUUUUAUCUCUGUGUGGUCAUUCCAGCCAUUGUGUGUAAUU
RNAcentral lists this long non-coding RNA (240 nucleotides) under Paramuricea clavata. The record is from RNAcentral. Lineage: Eukaryota; Metazoa; Cnidaria; Anthozoa; Malacalcyonacea; Plexauridae.